ACUUAUUCUUAUCCUGUGGCUUAACGGUGUGAGAAGGUCAUCUUUAUAUCACAUUUUAAAGCAUUUCAUCAUCAAACAAAAGUUAAUUUGUACAAUAUCAAGAAUUUUUACUUCUGUUUUCUUGGUCACAUUGAGGAACUACUAAAAGUUACUUCUGAUUGAUUUAAUUUAUAGGAACACAUUAGCCUGGUCGUAAUCCCUUAACUUUCAUAAAUAUCUCCUCCUCUGCUGAAACAACUGGACCAAAACGACAUCAGAACUUGUUCUUGGGAUAUAAUGUUUUGUAUCAUGUCUUGUAUGUUGAAUGUUAUGUCCUUGUUUGUAUACUAUGUCGACUCGAAAUAAAGAUUAUGUAUUA
This 358-nucleotide long non-coding RNA is filed under the name Mytilus galloprovincialis (Mediterranean mussel). The record is from RNAcentral. Lineage: Eukaryota; Metazoa; Mollusca; Bivalvia; Mytilida; Mytilidae.